GAUGAAGAACGCAGCGAAAUGCGACAAGUAGUGUGAAUUGCAGAAUUCAGUGAAUCAUCGAAUCUUUGAACGCACAUUGCGCCCUUUGGUAUUCCAAAGGGCAUGCCUGUUCGAGCGUCAUUUGUACCCUCAAGCUUUGCUUGGUGUUGGGCGUCUUGUCUCUAGCUUUGCUGGAGACUCGCCUUAAAGUAAUUGGCAGCCGGCCUACUGGUUUCGGAGCGCAGCACAAGUCGCACUCUCUAUCAGCAAAGGUCUAGCAUCCAUUAAGCCUUUUUUUCAACUUUUGACCUCGGAUCAGGUAGGGAUACCCGCUGAACUUAAGCAUAUCAAUAAGCGGAGGA
RNAcentral lists this unclassified non-coding RNA (341 nucleotides) under soil metagenome. RNAcentral describes it as "partial contains 5.8S ribosomal RNA, internal transcribed spacer 2, and large subunit ribosomal RNA". The stretch from base 1 to 120 matches the Rfam family "5.8S ribosomal RNA", at positions 35 to 154 of the family's 154-position model. The record is from RNAcentral.